CGCGGGGUAGAGCAGUCCGGCAGCUCGUCAGGCUCAUAACCUGAAGGUCGCGGGUUCAAAUCCCGCCCCCGCUU
Molecule: transfer RNA, 74 nt
Filed under: Hyphomicrobiales bacterium
Lineage: Bacteria; Pseudomonadati; Pseudomonadota; Alphaproteobacteria; Hyphomicrobiales
Description: tRNA-Met
Rfam family: tRNA
About the family: Transfer RNA (tRNA) molecules are approximately 80 nucleotides in length. Their secondary structure includes four short double-helical elements and three loops (D, anti-codon, and T loops).
Source: RNAcentral